RNAcentral lists this ribosomal RNA (401 nucleotides) under uncultured bacterium. RNAcentral's name for it is "bacterial SSU rRNA". It matches the Rfam family "Bacterial small subunit ribosomal RNA", at positions 772 to 1164 of the family's 1533-position model. The record is from RNAcentral.
ACUCAAUAGAUACCCAGGUAGUCCUGGCAGUAAACGGUGCACGUUUGGUGUGGGCGCAAUCGACCGCGUCCGCGCCGUAGCUAACGCGUUAAGCGUGCCGCCUGGGAAGUACGGUCGCAAGAUUAAAACUCAAAGAAAUUGACGGGGACCCGCACAAGCGGUGGAGUAUGUGGCUUAAUUCGAUGCAACGCGAAGAACCUUACCUGGUCUUGACAUGCAUUGUGUCUCCGGUGAAAGCCGGAUAGGGUAGCAAUACCCGCUUUGCACAGGUGCUGCAUGGCUGUCGUCAGCUCGUGUCGUGAGAUGUUGGGUUUAAGUCCCGCAACGAGCGCAACCCCGUGUGAUUUAGUUGCCACCCGGGUUUACCGGUCGCACUCGAAUCAGACUGCCUCGAUCAACGA